RNAcentral lists this ribosomal RNA (443 nucleotides) under uncultured bacterium. RNAcentral's name for it is "partial 16S ribosomal RNA". It matches the Rfam family "Bacterial small subunit ribosomal RNA", at positions 338 to 795 of the family's 1533-position model. The record is from RNAcentral.
CCUACGGGAGGCAGCAGUGGGGAAUAUUGGGCAAUGGGCGCAAGCCUGACCCAGCAACGCCGCGUGAAGGAAGAAGGCUUUCGGGUUGUAAACUUCUUUUCUCAGGGACGAAGAAAGUGACGGUACCUGAGGAAUAAGCCACGGCUAACUACGUGCCAGCAGCCGCGGUAAUACGGAGGUGGCAAGCGUUAGCCGGAUUUAGUGGGUGUAAAGGGCGUGUAGGCGGGAUCGCAAGUCAGAUGUGAAAACUCAGGGCUCAACCCUGAGCCUGCAUUUGAAACUGUGUUUCUUGAGUACUGGAGAGGCAAGCGGAAUUCCGUGUGUAGCGGUGAAAUGCGUAGAUAUACGGAGGAACACCAGUGGCGAAGGCGGAUUGCUGGACAGUAACUGACGCUGAGGCGCGAAAGCGUGGGGAGCAAACAGGAUUAGAUACCCCUGUAGUC